GUGAUCAGUUUCUUUUGUUUGUUUUUCUAUUGUUUACCUACUAUAUUAGAUGAUGACUUACCUCCAAAACGUUUUAAAACUUUCGUUUAUAAUUCUAAGUGUGUUUAUAAUUAAAGAGCUACAGUGAAAUAAAAUGAAUUCUUCAAGAAAGGCAGCACCCAUGACAAAAGAUGAGACGAUGAUUCUAGCAGAACUUGUGGCGGCGAAAAAACAUUUCAAUAAUAAGGCAACAAAUGCCACAAACAAUAAAUUGAAGGAGCAGGCUUGGCAAACCCUUGUAAAUGAUUUUAAUUCGUCGAUUCGUCGUUUCCCACGAACUCCAUCGCAGCUUCGACUAAAAUGGGAAAACUUAAAGAACGCUACGGCAACAUAAGAAACAACCUUAGUAAGGCUGGAGGUGGUAAGGAUUGCAGAUGAAAUUUUGGAUAAAGCAUGCACAUUGUUGUAGGUCACAUAUAAUAUUUUUAACACUUUUACAGCCAAGCUUACUUUUACAACAGGAAACAAGAUGGAAGAAAAGAAAUGCAAGGCUAGCAUAGGGACAAUGCAUUAGCAGAAUAUCUAAUAGCAAAAAAGAGACUUGACUUGGAAAAUAAAGAAAAGGAGAUUGUUGUAGCAAAAGUUAAGUUAGAUUUAGAUAAUUUAAAAAAUUAAAAAUUACUUAAAAGGAAUAUUAAAUUUCAUAAAUUAAGUAGGCAAUAAUAAUUUUAUGUUAGAUAUUUUUUAAGUAUAUGUACAAAUUCUAAAUUAAAAUCUUGCAUGUACUAACUACCAUGUAAUUAUCAUUUUGGAAAAUAAAAAAUAGUCAAAUUA
Long non-coding RNA from Bombyx mori (domestic silkworm), 813 nucleotides. RefSeq lists it as uncharacterized. Lineage: Eukaryota; Metazoa; Arthropoda; Insecta; Lepidoptera; Bombycidae. The transcript has 3 exons. The record is from RefSeq and is a predicted model, not a curated record.